GAUGAACGCUGGCGGCGUGCCUAAUACAUGCAAGUCGAGCGAACAGACGAGGAGCUUGCUCCUCUGACGUUAGCGGCGGACGGGUGAGUAACACGUGGAUAACCUACCUAUAAGACUGGGAUAACUUCGGGAAACCGGAGCUAAUACCGGAUAAUAUAUUGAACCGCAUGGUUCAAUAGUGAAAGACGGUUUUGCUGUCACUUAUAGAUGGAUCCGCGCCGCAUUAGCUAGUUGGUAAGGUAACGGCUUACCAAGGCGACGAUGCGUAGCCGACCUGAGAGGGUGAUCAGCCACACUGGAACUGAGACACGGUCCAGACUCCUACGGGAGGCAGCAGUAGGGAAUCUUCCGCAAUGGGCGAAAGCCUGACGGAGCAACGCCGCGUGAGUGAUGAAGGUCUUCGGAUCGUAAAACUCUGUUAUUAGGGAAGAACAAAUGUGUAAGUAACUAUGCACGUCUUGACGGUACCUAAUCAGAAAGCCACGGCUAACUACGUGC
Molecule: ribosomal RNA, 498 nt
Filed under: uncultured bacterium
Lineage: Bacteria
Description: partial 16S ribosomal RNA
Rfam family: Bacterial small subunit ribosomal RNA
Source: RNAcentral